Molecule: long non-coding RNA, 1371 nt
Organism: Phalaenopsis equestris
Lineage: Eukaryota; Viridiplantae; Streptophyta; Magnoliopsida; Asparagales; Orchidaceae
Exons: 4
Source: RefSeq, a predicted model, not a curated record
UUUUGAAUACAGGAAUCGAAGGGGAGAGGAUUACUGCAGGACAAAACAAGUCAGAGGUUGGACAAAUACAACAAUUUUUCAAGGAUGUGUGUUCCGUAUAUGUAAAACAAGCCAGAGAAAACCCACAGACAACAACACAAAACAAGUCUCAAUUGAACAUUACUGCAGCAUAAAACAUCCCCAAAUUUAAUAAAGCCAAAUAAAGACACCUCGCAUAUUUCAGGAUUUCGUACAAGUGGUGUUUAUGGUUUCAUGGGAAUCGAAGGGGAGAGGAUGUUCGCCACGAGGGAGUUGCGGAAGGGUGCGGCAGAGAUAGCCGACCUUCGGAGUUAGCCGACCGACAGCACACGGGGGCUGGAGAGAUGGGUUCGGCGGCGGAAGCGACCAGCCGACUGAAAAUGGGCGAGCCAUAUAAACUGCAACUCGGGCUUUGGUAACCUGGCGAGGUCGACGGUGGAGAUCUGCGCGUGGAAGGUUCUUGGAUCCGGAGGCGGAGAUACAACGGACGCAAUAUUCUCCUACAAAGUGUCUCUGAAGAUGUCUAAGAGAGGGGAGACCGGAGGCAAGUAGCCGGCUGGAGAUCGAUUGCCAGUCGGUGGGUGCCUUUUUGAAGUACUCCAAGAAGCCCUUUUGCUAAUCAACCCUUUCAAGUUUAUCAUAAUGAUGAUUGCAGAGACAGGACGUCGUUCUCCAUCCAGAUCUUUCUAAAACCCGCGGUCAAACACUUGCGCAAACUACCCUCAGAUGAUUCAAACCCAGAAAAAAGGUCACGAUCUCUGUUUCAUAUUUGGAGUUCCCCACAAAUUUUCUCAGAUCCUUGCCAUCAAUCAUUAGUAUGAUUGGAUCCCUCUUAAGCCUCCAUGUAACACCCAACCGAAUGUGCUAUAGCACUAUAUCGAACUCAAAACUCCUCAUUUUCUUUGCUUUCCGCUCACGAAUUCACUCAAACCUCGGUGUAGAUGUGAUCAGGCUUAGAGGACAACUAACGGUAGGCAGGCGGAAGGUAAAGCCGAUGUCGGUGGCAAUGGACUGGAGCUCUGGCGUCAAAAGCUUACUGUCUUGAUCUCGAUCGAACUCCUGGAACUUGUUCUCUACGAAUCUGCUAAAGGCUUCCCCGUCUCCGACCAGCUUCUCUAUCUCGGCACUGCAAUAACCCUUCAAUAAUCCCCCUAUAACCCCAUAAUAACCUCUGUGGUUUCGCUCCAAUUACCCCUGCAAUAAACUCUCAAUAACCCCAGAUAACCCCCCAAUAACCUCCACGGUUCCACUUCAAGAACUUCCUAUAAUAACCUACUAAUAAUCUCUGUGGUUCUAGUUCAAUAAUCCCCUUCAUUAACCCCCACAAUAACCCUUUAAUAACUUCCCAAUAAA